AGUGAACGCUGGCGGUAGGCCUAACACAUGCAAGUCGAACGGCAGCACAGUAAGAUCUUGCUCUUACGGGUGGCGAGUGGCGGACGGGUGAGGAAUACAUCGGAAUCUACUUUUUCGGGGGGGAUAACGUAGGGAAACUUACGCUAAUACCGCAUACGACCUACGGGUGAAAGCAGGGGAUCUUCGGACCUUGCGCGAUUGAAUGAGCCGAUGUCGGAUUAGCUAGUUGGCGGGGUAAAGGCCCACCAAGGCGACGAUCCGUAGCUGGUCUGAGAGGAUGAUCAGCCACACUGGAACUGAGACACGGUCCAGACUCCUACGGGAGGCAGCAGUGGGGAAUAUUGGACAAUGGGCGAAAGCCUGAUCCAGCAAUACCGCGUGGGUGAAGAAGGCCUUCGGGUUGUAAAGCCCUUUUGUUGGGAAAGAACAGCAGCAGGUUAAUACCCCGCUGUUCUGACGGUACCCAAAGAAUAAGCACCGGCUAACUUCGUG
This 492-nucleotide ribosomal RNA is filed under the name uncultured bacterium. RNAcentral describes it as "partial 16S ribosomal RNA". It matches the Rfam family "Bacterial small subunit ribosomal RNA", at positions 29 to 507 of the family's 1533-position model. The record is from RNAcentral.